UACGAAGGGGGCUAGCGUUGCUCGGAAUCACUGGGCGUAAAGCGCACGUAGGCGGUUUCUUAAGUCAGGGGUGAAAUCCUGGAGCUCAACUCCAGAACUGCCUUUGAUACUGGCAACCUUGAGUCCGGGAGAGGUGAGUGGAACUGCGAGUGUAGAGGUGAAAUUCGUAGAUAUUCGCAAGAACACCAGUGGCGAAGGCGGCUCACUGGCCCGGUACUGACGCUGAGGUGCGAAAGCGUGGGGAGCAAACAGG
Molecule: ribosomal RNA, 253 nt
Filed under: uncultured bacterium
Lineage: Bacteria
Description: partial 16S ribosomal RNA
Rfam family: Bacterial small subunit ribosomal RNA
Source: RNAcentral